GGGGUUGUGGUCUAGUGGUAUGACAUCUUCUUAGCAUUGCUCAUCGAGCAGUUCUGAGUUGGAGAAGGUUCUGGGUUCGAUUCCCAGCUACUCCA
Molecule: transfer RNA, 95 nt
Filed under: Aureobasidium melanogenum CBS 110374
Lineage: Eukaryota; Fungi; Ascomycota; Dothideomycetes; Dothideales; Saccotheciaceae
Rfam family: tRNA
About the family: Transfer RNA (tRNA) molecules are approximately 80 nucleotides in length.
Source: Rfam by way of RNAcentral